Molecule: ribosomal RNA, 319 nt
Filed under: uncultured Treponema sp.
Lineage: Bacteria; Pseudomonadati; Spirochaetota; Spirochaetia; Treponematales; Treponemataceae
Description: partial 16S ribosomal RNA
Source: RNAcentral
GGAGUCUGGGCCGUAUCUCAGUCCCAAUGUGCCCGAUCACCCUCUUAGGCCGGGUAGCUAUCGUCGCCUUGGUGGGCCGUUACCCCGCCAACUAGCUAAUAGCCCGCGGGCCGCUCUUCCGGUGCAUCAAAAGAUGCUUUCCUGCAUGGCCUCUGUUCCCAUGCAGCGUAUUCGGUAUUAUCUCCUGUUUCCAGGAGCUAUCCCCAUCCGGAAGGUACGUCACCCACGCGUUACUCACCAGUCCGCCAUUCUAGGAUAAGAGCAAGCUCUUAUCUUGCCAUUCGACUUGCAUGCUUAAGACGCGCCGCCAGCGUUCGUU